UGCUUGUACUCUGGACUGCUGUGCUUACUCCUGCCUCCCUGAUUUGAACCACAGGAGUAGCUCAUGGGAUGGGAGUGGGAUAUCAAGAUAAAGACUUUUAGGUGAAGAUGAAAGUACAGGCUAUCCGGUGGGUUCAAAUACCAGACUCCAGAGCCGCCUGGAGUGGGCUGAAGAAGCAGCCAAACCCCAAUCAGUGUGGAUAAGGAAGCAGACCUGCUUCAACUCUGGUCCGCGUCGCUGUGUCCCAUUUGGACCUCAUCACCUUGGUUCAGGCUGGGAAGCUCCCUUCUUCAAAGCCAUUUUGCUAAGCCCAGAGUGACCUACCCUAAGAUCACUAGAUGGCUUCUAAAUUCUGCAAAAGCCAAAUGAUGUCAAACAAAGUGUGGGAGAACUCUGUGUGGCACUACUGAAGAGAAACCUGCAUUCUAACUAUAUGGGGAAGGAAGGGGGAGCAAGGGUCGUAAUGGAUAAUGAUCACCCCAGAGGAUAACACAAGGAAUAUGACUGGCUUUAAUAAUUCAGGUUUCCAUUUGGUUCAAGACCUGUCAAGUACCAAAGGAUUAAUCCUCAUAUAUAAUAUACUAACUUUGUA
Long non-coding RNA from Canis lupus familiaris (dog), 592 nucleotides. RefSeq lists it as uncharacterized. The record is from RefSeq and is a predicted model, not a curated record. The transcript has 3 exons. Lineage: Eukaryota; Metazoa; Chordata; Mammalia; Carnivora; Canidae.